Molecule: ribosomal RNA, 253 nt
Filed under: uncultured bacterium
Lineage: Bacteria
Description: partial 16S ribosomal RNA
Rfam family: Bacterial small subunit ribosomal RNA
Source: RNAcentral
UACGAGGGGGGCGAGCGUUGUUCGGAAUUAUUGGGCGUAAAGGGUGCGUAGGCGGUUCCGCAAGUCCUGUGUGAAAUCUUCGGGCUCAACUCGAAGUCUGCACGGGAAACUGCGGGGCUUGAGUGUGGGAGAGGUGAGUGGAAUUCCCGGUGUAGCGGUGAAAUGCGUAGAUAUCGGGAGGAGCACCUGUGGCGAAAGCGGCUCACUGGACCAUAACUGACGCUGAUGCACGAAAGCUGGGGGAGCAAACAGG